RNAcentral lists this ribosomal RNA (253 nucleotides) under uncultured bacterium. RNAcentral's name for it is "partial 16S ribosomal RNA". It matches the Rfam family "Bacterial small subunit ribosomal RNA", at positions 524 to 776 of the family's 1533-position model. The record is from RNAcentral.
UACGGAGGGUGCAAGCGUUAUCCGGAUUUACUGGGUUUAAAGGGUGCGUAGGUGGGUUAGUAAGUCAGUGGUGAAAUCUCCGAGCUUAACUUGGAAACUGCCAUUGAUACUAUUAAUCUUGAAUACCGUGGAGGUCAGCGGAAUAUGUCAUGUAGCGGUGAAAUGCUUAGAUAUGACAUAGAACACCAAUUGCGAAGGCAGCUGGCUACACGAAUAUUGACACUGAUGCACGAAAGCGUGGGGAUCAAACAGG